This 1093-nucleotide ribosomal RNA is filed under the name uncultured bacterium. RNAcentral's name for it is "bacterial SSU rRNA". It matches the Rfam family "Bacterial small subunit ribosomal RNA", at positions 8 to 1137 of the family's 1533-position model. The record is from RNAcentral.
AGAGUUUGAUCCUGGCUCAGAACGAACGCUGGCGGCAGGCCUAACACAUGCAAGUCGAGCGAGACCUUCGGGUCUAGCGGCGGACGGGUUAGUAACGCGUGGGAACGUGCCCUUCUCUGCGGAAUAGCCACUGGAAACGGUGAGUAAUACCGCAUACGCCCUUCGGGGGAAAGAUUUAUCGGAGAAGGAUCGGCCCGCGUUAGAUUAGAUAGUUGGUGGGGUAAUGGCCUACCAAGUCUACGAUCUAUAGCUGGUUUUAGAGGAUGAUCAGCAACACUGGGACUGAGACACGGCCCAGACUCCUACGGGAGGCAGCAGUGGGGAAUCUUAGACAAUGGGCGCAAGCCUGAUCUAGCCAUGCCGCGUGUGUGAUGAAGGUCUUAGGAUCGUAAAGCACUUUCGCCAGGGAUGAUAAUGACAGUACCUGGUAAAGAAACCCCGGCUAACUCCGUGCCAGCAGCCGCGGUAAUACGGAGGGGGUUAGCGUUGUUCGGAAUUACUGGGCGUAAAGCGUACGUAGGCGGAUCAGAAAGUAAGGGGUGAAAUCCCAGGGCUCAACCCUGGAACUGCCUCUUAAACUCCUGGUCUUGAGUUCGAGAGAGGUGAGUGGAAUUCCAAGUGUAGAGGUGAAAUUCGUAGAUAUUUUGGAGGAACACCAGUGGCGAACGCGGCUCACUGGCUCGAUACUGACGCUGAGGUACGAAAGUGUGGGGAGCAAACAGGAUUAGAUACCCUGGUAGUCCACACCGUAAACGAUGAAUGCCAGUCGUCGGGCAGUAUACUGUUCGGUGACACACCUAACGGGAUUAAGCAUUCCGCCUGGGGAGUACGGUCGCAAGCNNAAAACUCAAAAGGAAUUGACCGGGGGCCCGGCACAAGCGGUGGGAGCAUGUGGGUUUAAUUCGAAGCAACGCGUCAGAACCUUUACCAACCCUUGACAUCCCUGUGCUAACCCAAAAGAUCGGGCGUUCACUUUCGUUGACGCAUUGACAGGUGCUGCAUGGGCCGUCGUCAGCUCGGGUCGUGAAGAGGUCAGGUUAGUUCGGCUACGAGCGCAACCCCAUCUUUAAAUGCCCGCACAUUCGCUUGGGCA